Molecule: ribosomal RNA, 315 nt
Filed under: uncultured eukaryote
Lineage: Eukaryota
Description: partial 18S ribosomal RNA
Rfam family: Eukaryotic small subunit ribosomal RNA
Source: RNAcentral
CCCUUAGACGUUCUGGGCCGCACGCGCGCUACACUGACCAGUGCAACAAGCAUCCGUCCUUGGCCGACAGGCCCGGGCAAUCUUUGAACGCUGGUCGUGAUGGGGAUAGACUUUUGCAGUUUUUGGUCUUCAACGAGGAAUUCCUAGUAAACGCAAGUCAUCAACUUGCAUUGAUUACGUCCCUGCCCUUUGUACACACCGCCCGUCGCACCUACCGAUUGAAUGGUCCGGUGAAGCCUCCGGAUUGGCGCGCACCUCGGUGCCGCCGAGAAGUUGGCUAAACCUUACCAUUUAGAGGAAGGUGAAGUCGUAACA